UGAGUAAUGUCUGGGAAACUGCCCGAUGGAGGGGGAUAACUACUGGAAACGGUAGCUAAUACCGCAUAACGUCGCAAGACCAAAGUGGGGGACCUUCGGGCCUCACACCAUCGGAUGUGCCCAGAUGGGAUUAGCUAGUAGGUGGGGUAAUGGCUCACCUAGGCGACGAUCCCUAGCUGGUCUGAGAGGAUGACCAGCCACACUGGAACUGAGACACGGUCCAGACUCCUACGGGAGGCAGCAGUGGGGAAUAUUGCACAAUGGGCGUAAGCCUGAUGCAGCCAUGCCGCGUGUAUGAAGAAGGCCUUCGGGUUGUAAAGUACUUUCAGCGGGGAGGAAGGCGGUGGAGUUAAUAGCUUCACCGAUUGACGUUACCCGCAGAAGAAGCACCGGCUAACUCCGUGCCAGCAGCCGCGGUAAUACGGAGGGUGCAAGCGUUAAUCGGAAUUACUGGGCGUAAAGCGCACGCAGGCGGUCUGUCAAGUCGGAUGUGAAAUCCCCGGG
Molecule: ribosomal RNA, 504 nt
Filed under: uncultured bacterium
Lineage: Bacteria
Description: bacterial SSU rRNA
Rfam family: Bacterial small subunit ribosomal RNA
Source: RNAcentral